GGGGUGGAGGGCUUGGGGAGGCAGCCAGAGGCUCAGAGAGGCUAUGAUGACUGCCUGUGCAAGAUGCGCCUAAAGAGUCUAGAGAGAGAUCAAUGGAGGUGAUGCAUUUCUGUUCUUGUUGUUGUAGUUGCAUGACAAGCUUGCAUGGUCUGUUACAUCGCAGACAACCGCUUGUAGCCAUCUUAUGGUUAAAGGUGCAGAGGAACUCGCAAUGCCUUAUUUUUCAAUUGUAGAUCUGAGC
RNAcentral lists this long non-coding RNA (241 nucleotides) under Elaeis guineensis (African oil palm). RNAcentral's name for it is "long non-coding RNA (EGUI_LNC008669)". The record is from RNAcentral. Lineage: Eukaryota; Viridiplantae; Streptophyta; Magnoliopsida; Arecales; Arecaceae.